This 247-nucleotide long non-coding RNA is filed under the name Volvox carteri. RNAcentral's name for it is "long non-coding RNA (VCAR_LNC001869)". The record is from RNAcentral. Lineage: Eukaryota; Viridiplantae; Chlorophyta; Chlorophyceae; Chlamydomonadales; Volvocaceae.
GGCGGUGACGACAGUUCCCCGCCCGCCCGGGUUAGACUGACUGCCCCCGGCGGCCCAUCACGUACGUGUUGGAACGUUACGUGUUGGGGGGGGCCCCGGUCAGUCGUCAUCCAUCAUCGAUAUGGGGCCAUCGCCGUGUGAAUGUGGUGGUCGUGGUAGACUCAGGUAGAUUAAUGUAGCGGCAACCAAUAUAAUCUUUUGGAGUGCCGGAUGGUGGGCGGAUGUUGUUUGGACACACGGACAGGAG